Molecule: transfer RNA, 71 nt
Filed under: Actinomadura sp. WMMB 499
Lineage: Bacteria; Bacillati; Actinomycetota; Actinomycetes; Streptosporangiales; Thermomonosporaceae
Also listed under: 1 other name
Description: tRNA-OTHER
Rfam family: tRNA
About the family: Transfer RNA (tRNA) molecules are approximately 80 nucleotides in length. Their secondary structure includes four short double-helical elements and three loops (D, anti-codon, and T loops).
Source: RNAcentral
GACGCCGUGGCCGAGCGGUUCGGGCGGCGGCCGCAAAGCCGCCGCACGUGGGUUCGACUCCCGCCGGCGUC